This 902-nucleotide long non-coding RNA is filed under the name Gossypium barbadense (sea-island cotton). RNAcentral's name for it is "long non-coding RNA (GBAR_LNC004093)". The record is from RNAcentral. Lineage: Eukaryota; Viridiplantae; Streptophyta; Magnoliopsida; Malvales; Malvaceae.
CCAAAACGCCGUAGAAGGUCUGGAGAAAGCUGGUUUUUCAUAUUUUUACAUCAUAUCAAGAAAACGAACUGAAUCGUGGAAAGGAGAAAAUUCAAGAAUAGUCCCUGAAUUUCUACGACUUUUGCAAAUUAGUCCAGGUAAGUUCAUAUGGAAAAGUUCAAUGUUUUGAUAUGAAAAUCUUAUGAUUGUUAAAGUAUUUUAUUGUUGAUGAAUACUAUCAAUUUGCAUUAACUAAUGAAUAAUGUGUAACUAAAAGUACAAAUUAGUAGGAACAAUGGAUUUGAGUGCUUCUAUUCUGUGACCCUGAUGAAUUGACGAAAAAUAUGUGAUAAGUGCGCCCGUUUAAGACCAUAGCUGGGCUAUGGCAUCGGUGCAAUGUGAUAAUGUGACUCCGUAUAAGACCAUAGCUGGGCUAUGGCAUCGGUAUAAUGUGAUAAUGAAGCACUCAAUUCCCUUAUUGUUCCUUAAUUUGACAAUGAAGUAAAUGAGAAAUGGGCCUAAGGGAGUUAAAUUGUGAGUAGCCAUAUGGAAAUUAUUCCAAUGAGUUAUUAAUGAAAUUGUGAUUUGGAGGAUGAAAUAGUUAAACUAAUAGAUAUAUGAUUGUGUACGAUAUUUGAUAUGAUUUGUGUUUAUAUGCCUAUGAGCUUACUAAGCUUCAAUAAGCUUACUUGUGUGUGUUUAAUAUUUUUAUGUAGAUUGACUUGAAGUGAAGUGGGUAGAUCGGAUCAACACAACAGGGCACACUAUUCAGAUCAAUUCUGGUAGUUUUUGUUUUAUGUUUAAAGAUUUAUAUGGCAUGUAUAGAGUUUGAAUGAAUUGAAGUAAAGAUGUUAUGAACUAGUUAACAAUAUUUGUACUAAAACAGUUUUUGGUAAGGAGCAGUAGUUUGACUUUGAAAAUUC